RNAcentral lists this ribosomal RNA (253 nucleotides) under uncultured bacterium. Its description in RNAcentral is "partial 16S ribosomal RNA". It matches the Rfam family "Bacterial small subunit ribosomal RNA", at positions 524 to 776 of the family's 1533-position model. The record is from RNAcentral.
GACGAACCAUGCAAACGUUAUUCGGAUUCACUGGGCUUAAAGCGUGCGUAGGCGGUCUUGUUAGUCAGGUGUGAAAGCCCUCAGCCCAACUGAGGAAUUGCGCUUGAUACUGCAUGACUCGAGAAUGAUAGAGGUGGGUGGAACUGAUGGUGGAGCGGUGAAAUGCGUUGAUAUCAUCAGGAACACCAGUGGCGAAGGCGACCCACUGGGUCAUUUCUGACGCUGAGGUACGAAAGCUAGGGUAGCGAACGGG